Homo sapiens (human) is the source of this 418-nucleotide long non-coding RNA. Ensembl annotates it as SLC8A1 antisense RNA 1. Its record names the gene SLC8A1-AS1. The record is from Ensembl. NCBI's taxonomy places the organism in Eukaryota, Metazoa, Chordata, Mammalia, Primates, Hominidae.
GGUGAAGCCAGCCUGACUUGUGUCCUUCCCUUCAUGGUGGUAAUUAUCCAGUUGAUAUUUAUCUUGUUCCAGUCACCUUUAGAAAGCUGUUUGCUCUCAAAUCUCCAGGCAGCCUCUAUUGAUUGAUCUGAGUUGGCAGAUGAGUUGGCAGGUCUCUACUUUGAGUUAGAUGACUUCAGAAAUGAUCACACAUUUCAUGUCAAAUUUCCAGGCCUCAAAUUCCUGUUCCCAGUGAUAUGAGUACCCACAGAUAAUUCACUGGUUUUGGAAAUCACUAGUGGGUAAAAAAGACCAAUUUGCAACUAGGCUCUCAUGCUCUGUUGAAAACUAUGUCACAAUAUCACAAUACUAGAUGCUGGGCUCAAGACAGCAAACAGAAAGCAGCAAGGGCAGUGACUGGAAGCUGGGAGAGAGGGUC